AAACCCUAGAAGGUUAGACUCUAGUUAACUAUUUAUCCUUAGGGCAGAGCUUGUUAAGAAGAACAAAGUGUUCUGGUGUAUUUCCACAUGGUAAAACUCACAGAAGUGUCGGGACACCCAUAUGACUGGGUUCCCCUAAAUCCCCUAUGACUAGCUAUGAGCAGGUACCACUCAAACUCCACACUUGAGUUUCCAGGAACAUGUCAAUUACAAUUCAGAUCUCUCUACUCUGAUAUUGGUACCUGUAGAGGUUGCUAUUUGUGGGUUUCUGCUCUACUAAGCUGUGACUCUGUGUUUUCACCUGUUGGUAUCUCCAAUUAUGGGAGCAGUAGUUUGCCCUGUGACCUCAUUUUAAAUAAUUUAUCUCACUUGGUUGAAAAUCAUGAACCAUAAGACAAAACACUAGAAAUAGAAUUCAGUAGCAUAUUAAAAGAAUUAUACACCAUGACUGAAUGGGAUUUAUUCAUGGACUGUAAGGAUGGUUCAGCACAUGAAAAAUCAAAGAAUAUACCACAUUAACAAAAUGAAGGAAAAAACCCACAUGAUCAUCUCAAUUGAUGUUUGAUAAAAUUCAAAAAACCCUUAAAUGAUAAAACCACUCAAAAAACUAAGACCAGAAACUACCUCGCUAUAACAAAAGUUAUAUAUGACAAACCCACAAAAAGCAUUAUAUUCAACGAUGAAAGAUUAAAAGCUUUUUCUGUAAAAUCAGAAACAAGAUAAGGUUGCCUGGUUGUCUACUUCUAUUCUACAGAGCACUGGAAGUGCUAGUCAGAGAAAUUAGGCAAAAAAAAAAAAAAAAAAAAAAGAA
Long non-coding RNA from Sapajus apella (tufted capuchin), 811 nucleotides. RefSeq lists it as uncharacterized. The record is from RefSeq and is a predicted model, not a curated record. Lineage: Eukaryota; Metazoa; Chordata; Mammalia; Primates; Cebidae. The transcript has 2 exons.